Molecule: long non-coding RNA, 398 nt
Organism: Melitaea cinxia (Glanville fritillary)
Lineage: Eukaryota; Metazoa; Arthropoda; Insecta; Lepidoptera; Nymphalidae
Exons: 2
Source: RefSeq, a predicted model, not a curated record
GUCAAAAUCUCGACUUACAACAAAAGGUUUUCAAUUACCGUCUAAGCAGAGCCAGAAGAUAUGUCGAAUGCGCUUUUGGGAUUAUGGCUAACAAAUGGCGCAUUUUUCACAGACCGAUAGACGUGUCCUAUGACUUCGCUACUGACAUUAUAAAAGCAUGUUGUGUAUUACACAAUUUUGUCGCUGAUCGAGAUGGUUUUAGACAAAGAGAUAAAUUUGCUAUAAGUGUUGAUGAAUUUCUCCCAAUACAACCCGUACAUGAAGAACAGACAGCACCGAAUGUCAUAAGACAGCAAUAUGCGACCUAUUUUAUGACUAGAGGAACUCUGCCUUGGCAGCUAAAUAAGCUGUGAAAUUCUCGUAAUCAGGAAAUAAAACUUUUGAUAUGUCUUCCCAGG